This 446-nucleotide ribosomal RNA is filed under the name uncultured bacterium. Its description in RNAcentral is "partial 16S ribosomal RNA". It matches the Rfam family "Bacterial small subunit ribosomal RNA", at positions 330 to 793 of the family's 1533-position model. The record is from RNAcentral.
UCCAGACUCCUACGGGAGGCAGCAGUGGGGGAUAUUGCACAAUGGGGGAAACCCUGAUGCAGCGACGCCGCGUGGGCGAAGAAGUAUUUCGGUAUGUAAAGCCCUAUCAGCAGGGAAGAAAAUGACGGUACCUGACUAAGAAGCCCCGGCUAACUCCGUGCCAGCAGCCGCGGUAAUACGGGGGGUGCAAGCGUUGUCCGGAAUCAUUGGGCGUAAAGAGUUCGUAGGUGGCACGUUAAGUCUGGUGUUAAAGGCGGAAGCUCAACUUCCGUAGGGCACUGGAUACUGGCGAGCUUGAAUGCGGUAGAGGUAAAGGGAAUUCCUGGUGUAGCGGUGAAAUGCGUAGAUAUCAGGAGGAACAUCGGUGGCGUAAGCGCUUUACUGGGCCGUAAUUGACACUGAGGAACGAAAGUCGGGGUAGCAAAUGGGAUUAGAUACCCUCGUAU